This 560-nucleotide ribosomal RNA is filed under the name uncultured fungus. RNAcentral's name for it is "SSU rRNA". It matches the Rfam family "Eukaryotic small subunit ribosomal RNA", at positions 191 to 755 of the family's 1831-position model. The record is from RNAcentral. Lineage: Eukaryota; Fungi.
AUUGGAAGGGGUGUAUUUAUUAGAUUAAAAACCAAUGCCCUCCGGGGCUCACUGGUGAUUCAUAAUAACUUCUCGAAUCGCAUGGCCUUGCGCCGGCGAUGGUUCAUUCAAAUUUCUUCCCUAUCAACUUUCGAUGUUUGGGUAUUGGCCAAACAUGGUUGCAACGGGUAACGGGGAAUUAGGGUUCGAUUCCGGAGAAGGAGCCUGAGAAACGGCUACUACAUCCAAGGAAGGCAGCAGGCGCGCAAAUUACCCAAUCCCGACUCGGGGAGGUAGUGACAAUAAAUACUGAUACAGGGCUCUUUUGGGUCUUGUAAUUGGAAUGAGUACAAUUUAAAUCCCUUAACGAGGAACAAUUGGAGGGCAAGUCUGGUGCCAGCAGCCGCGGUAAUUCCAGCUCCAAUAGCGUAUAUUAAAGUUGUUGUGGUUAAAAAGCUCGUAGUUGAACCUUAGGCCUGGCUGGCCGGUCCGCCUCACCGCGUGUACUGGACCGGCCGGGCCUUUCCCUCUGUGGAACCCCAUGCCCUUCACUGGGUGUGGCGGGGAACCAGGACUUUUAC